RNAcentral lists this non-coding RNA (90 nucleotides) under Paraburkholderia diazotrophica. The record is from RNAcentral. Lineage: Bacteria; Pseudomonadati; Pseudomonadota; Betaproteobacteria; Burkholderiales; Burkholderiaceae.
UCCUAUGGCUGGGACUUGGUGAGGGAGCGCUUGCGCUCGCCGGUUCCUUUGCUCCGGUACGCCAACCUCGCCAUGCUCCCGGCCACCACG